RNAcentral lists this ribosomal RNA (455 nucleotides) under uncultured bacterium. RNAcentral describes it as "bacterial SSU rRNA". It matches the Rfam family "Bacterial small subunit ribosomal RNA", at positions 8 to 456 of the family's 1533-position model. The record is from RNAcentral.
AGAGUUUGAUCAUGGCUCAGAGUGAACGCUGGCGGCGUGCCUAACACAUGCAAGUCGAACGAGAACGGAUUACAGCUUGCUGUAAUUGUCAGCUAAGUGGCGCACGGGUGAGUAAUAUAUAGUUAAUCUGCCCCAAAGAAGAGAAUAAUUGUUGGAAACGACUUGUAAUGCUCUAUAUGCCUUUAAGACAUAAGUCUGCAAGGGAAAUAUUUAUAGCUUUGGGAUGAGACUGUACGGUAUCAGCUAGUUGGUGAGGUAAUGGCUCACCAAGGCUAUGACAUCUAACUGGUUUGAGAGGAUGAUCAGUCACACUGGAACUGAGACACGGUCCAGACUCCUACGGGAGGCAGCAGUGGGGAAUAUUGCACAAUGGAGGAAACUCUGAUGCAGCAACGCCGCGUGGAGGAUGACACAUUUCGGUGCGUAAACUCCUUUUAUAUGAGAAGAUAAUGACG